GUGGCCCAGGUGACACGCCUGUUUUGUCUGGAACACGCUCUGAAGCAUACGUUUUCUGCUGGAAGAAAAACAUGUUUUAAGAGGUUUUGUUUCAUUUCGCCGGCUGCUGAUUCAAACACUUGUCCUGCUUUCAUAGUCCGUGAUUAAUUGCAGGUUCCUACUCCUGUGGGAAUUACUCAAGGCUCCUCUCAAAGCCGCGCUGCACUCGUCAGCGUGACUCACCUUUUCACGAUUCCAGAGCUAAUAACAGGGAUUAUCCAGUCGGCACUUCGGGAAAUGAGUGAGAGUGAAGUAAGCUAGCGAGUUCCUUCUACCUCUCUUGAGUUUGAAACGGAAGGUUUUUUUUUUUUUUUUCUUUUCCUAAGCGUUUGCUUUUCUGUUUUUGUUUUCUGCAGAAGGGGACUGUUACAUUUGCUUUUCUUGGGGAAACAAAAACUUUUUAAUGAAGUCUAGCCUAUAGAAGAAAGCACAGAUUGUAAUAAGUGUGCAGCCCGAUAGAUGUUGGCGGUAUAAACCCACCGACAUUUCUGGCACCCCAGAACAAGAAUCAAAACAUGGCCAGCUGUUUGAGGUUUCAAUAUGUUACCUUCCACGUGUGGACAUGCGAUCUUGCUUGGAUGGAGUUUGUUUCUGGAGCUGUGGUGAACUCGCACUUCGGCGCAUCAGGCAGGUGGCGACCAUCACGAUGGCUGACACAGUUAUGACGGCAAGGUUCACAGCGACAACCAUAGCAAUAACGUGGCCACGCGGAGCACAACGCGGUCUCCAACACCGACAACAUCUGGAGCCUAGGAGGCCCACGAUAAGUAUUUGCUGGAUCCAUGAAUAAAUUAGCACCCGUUGUCACAAUCCUCAUUUUUCCUGGUUUUACUGAGUGACCCAAGUGAAUCGCUGACUUACACCGAUGACCAUUGUUUUAGAGUAACUAUCCUUAACCUGUGAGGCAAGAACCCUUUCUGUUCUAGUUUUCAAAGAGUUAUGGCUGAAAAGGGGGCUGAAAGGUAUCAGAUGUAUUUGCCACACCUUUGAGACGCUUCUGUAACUUUUUAUUCAAACACAUCAAUAUAACGGAUCGCUUAAAUGUUACAACACCUUUCCACCCCUGGGUAUAAAAUUCUGUAUUUGUGUGUUUGUGUACGUGCAUGUUCAGGUUUAGUCCAGAGGGGCGUGGUAGGGUUUUGAUUAGGAUUUUUACAUUCUAACAUUUUUGAAAAAGGUUUAUUUUUGAGAAAGACAGAGAGAGAGAGAGAGAGAGAGAGAGAGAGAGAGAGAGAGAGAGAGAGAGAGAGAGAGAGAGAGAGAGAGAGAGAGAGAGAGAGAGAGAGAGAGAGAGAGAGAGAGAGAGAGAGAGAGAGAG
Molecule: long non-coding RNA, 1357 nt
Filed under: Felis catus (domestic cat)
Lineage: Eukaryota; Metazoa; Chordata; Mammalia; Carnivora; Felidae
Description: lncRNA (ENSFCAG00000043936.2)
Source: RNAcentral